This 431-nucleotide ribosomal RNA is filed under the name uncultured bacterium. Its description in RNAcentral is "partial 16S ribosomal RNA". It matches the Rfam family "Bacterial small subunit ribosomal RNA", at positions 29 to 507 of the family's 1533-position model. The record is from RNAcentral.
AACGAACGCUGGCGGCAGGCUUAACACAUGCAAGUCGAACGCCCCGCAAGGGGAGUGGCAGACGGGUGAGUAACGCGUGGGAACAUACCCUUUUCUACGGAAUAGCUCUGGGAAACUGGAAUUAAUACCGUAUACGCCCUACGGGGGAAAGAUUUAUCGGGGAAGGAUUGGCCCGCGUUGGAUUAGCUAGUUGGUGGGGUAAAGGCCUACCAAGGCGACGAUCCAUAGCUGGUCUGAGAGGAUGAUCAGCCACAUUGGGACUGAGACACGGCCCAAACUCCUACGGGAGGCAGCAGUGGGGAAUAUUGGACAAUGGGCACAAGCCUGAUCCAGCCAUGCCGCGUGAGUGAUGAAGGCCUUAGGGUUGUAAAGCUCUUUCACCGAUGAAGAUAAUGACGGUAGUCGGAGAAGAAGCCCCGGCUAACUUCGUG